RNAcentral lists this ribosomal RNA (484 nucleotides) under uncultured bacterium. RNAcentral's name for it is "partial 16S ribosomal RNA". It matches the Rfam family "Bacterial small subunit ribosomal RNA", at positions 30 to 507 of the family's 1533-position model. The record is from RNAcentral.
AUUGAACGCUGGCGGCAUGCUUUACACAUGCAAGUCGAACGGCAGCACGGGCUUCGGCCUGGUGGCGAGUGGCGAACGGGUGAGUAAUAUAUCGGAACGUACCCAGAAGUGGGGGAUAACGUAGCGAAAGUUACGCUAAUUCCGCAUACGAUCUAUGGAUGAAAGCAGGGGACCGCAAGGCCUUGUGCUCCUGGAGCGGCCGAUAUCUGAUUAGCUAGUUGGUGAGGUAAAGGCUCACCAAGGCGACGAUCAGUAGCUGGUCUGAGAGGACGACCAGCCACACUGGAACUGAGACACGGUCCAGACUCCUACGGGAGGCAGCAGUGGGGAAUUUUGGACAAUGGGCGCAAGCCUGAUCCAGCAAUGCCGCGUGAGUGAAGAAGGCCUUCGGGUUGUAAAGCUCUUUUGUCAGGGAAGAAACGGUAGAGGCUAAUAUCCUUUGCUAAUGACGGUACCUGAAGAAUAAGCACCGGCUAACUACGUG